Molecule: ribosomal RNA, 253 nt
Filed under: uncultured bacterium
Lineage: Bacteria
Description: partial 16S ribosomal RNA
Rfam family: Bacterial small subunit ribosomal RNA
Source: RNAcentral
UACGUAGGGGGCAAGCGUUAUCCGGAUUUACUGGGUGUAAAGGGAGCGUAGACGGCGAUGCAAGCCAGAUGUGAAAGCCCGGGGCUCAACCCCGGGACUGCAUUUGGAACUGUGUGGCUGGAGUGUCGGAGAGGCAAGUGGAAUUCCUAGUGUAGCGGUGAAAUGCGUAGAUAUUAGGAGGAACACCAGUGGCGAAGGCGGCUUGCUGGACGAGGACUGACGUUGAGGCUCGAAAGCGUGGGGAGCAAACAGG